GACGAACGCUGGCGGCGUGCUUAACACAUGCAAGUCGAACGGAAAGGCCCUGCUUUUGUGGGGUGCUCGAGUGGCGAACGGGUGAGUAACACGUGAGUAACCUGCCCUUGACUUUGGGAUAACUUCAGGAAACUGGGGCUAAUACCGGAUAGGAGCUCCUGCUGCAUCGUGGGGGUUGGAAAGUUUCGGCGGUUGGGGAUGGACUCGCGGCUUAUCAGCUUGUUGGUGGGGGAGUGGCUUACCAAGGCUUUGACGGGUAGCCGGCCUGAGAGGGUGACCGGCCACAUUGGGACUGAGAUACGGCCCAGACUCCUACGGGAGGCAGCAGUGGGGAAUAUUGCACAAUGGGCGGAAGCCUGAUGCAGCAACGCCGCGUGCGGGAUGACGGCCUUCGGGUUGUAAACCGCUUUCGCCUGUGACGAAGCGUGAGUGACGGUAAUGGGUAAAGAAGCACCGGCUAACUACGUG
Molecule: ribosomal RNA, 468 nt
Filed under: uncultured bacterium
Lineage: Bacteria
Description: partial 16S ribosomal RNA
Rfam family: Bacterial small subunit ribosomal RNA
Source: RNAcentral